GAUUUACAGAACUGUGUGACAUCGCACACAACUGUGAUAUCACAGACCAAUGUGUAUUGCUACUGCAGUGCAUCUGAAAUGGGGGCUAGCUUCUUCCCAGAGGUCAGACGUCAUCCCUGCCCAGGGUAACUUCCAUCUAAACGUUUUCAUGUGGCAAAAUGAGUGAUGUUCAAGCAGCAGGAGAGGGUGCGGAAGGAUGAGAGUCACCAGUAAAAUCACAUGGAGCCUCAAUACAGAGAUCUCGCUGACCUUCAGCUCGGUGUGGCCCUUCUGUAAAAUUCCCUGUGCUGCUUCCUUCACAUGCUUGGAGCCAGGAACCAGAGGUACCCGCCUCAAGACUCAGUGGGACAGAGCUGGAAACAUUAGAGGAACGGGAGAGAGGGCAGCGGAGACUUGUUGGAGACCAAUGAGGAGAUGCAGUCGAAGGCAAAUACACUUGGAAAAUUGAGCUGGAAAGUGAGCCCACAGUGGGACUAGGCAGGGAGCACAGCAGGUUCCACUGAGG
Molecule: non-coding RNA, 505 nt
Organism: Pelodiscus sinensis (Chinese soft-shelled turtle)
Lineage: Eukaryota; Metazoa; Chordata; Testudines; Trionychidae
Source: RefSeq, a predicted model, not a curated record